AUUGAACGCUGGCGGCGUGCUUAACACAUGCAAGUCGAUCGGUAACAGGUGUAGCAAUACAUGCUGACGAGAGGCGGACGGGUGAGUAAUGCUUGGGAAUCUGCCUAUUAGUGGGGGACAACCCGGGGAAACUCGGGCUAAUACCGCAUACGCUCUACGGAGGAAAGCCGGGGACCGCAAGGCCUGGCGCUAAUAGAUGAGCCCAAGUCGGAUUAGCUAGUUGGUAGGGAACGGCCUACCAAGGCGACAAUCCGUAGCUGGUCUGAGAGGACGACCAGCCACACCGGAACUGAGACACGGUCCGGACUCCUACGGGAGGCAGCAGUGGGGAAUAUUGGACAAGUGGGGCAACCCUGAUCCAGCGACGCCGCGUGGGUGAAGAAGGCCUGCGGGUUGUAAAGCCCUUUCGGGUGGGGAAGAAAAGUCUCGACCUAAUACGUCGGGACCUUGACGUAACCCACUAAAGAAGCACCGGCUAACUCUGUGCCAGCAGCCGC
Molecule: ribosomal RNA, 497 nt
Filed under: uncultured bacterium
Lineage: Bacteria
Description: bacterial SSU rRNA
Rfam family: Bacterial small subunit ribosomal RNA
Source: RNAcentral